UCUGUAGGCGGUGCGGCAAGUCGGGAGUGAAAUCUCUGGGCUUAACCCAGAGGCUGCUUCCGAAACUGCCGUGCUGGAGUGCGGGAGAGGUGAGUGGAAUUGCAGGUGUAGCGGUGAAAUGCGUAGAUAUCUGCAGGAACACCAGAGGCGAAGGCGGCUCACUGGACCGCAACUGACGCUGAGAGACGAAAGCUAGGGGAGCAAACAGGAUUAGAUACCCUGGUAGUCCUAGCCCUAAACGAUCAGGACUUGGCGUGGGCCCCGUACGGGGCUCGUGUCGGAGCUAACGUGUUAAGUCCUGCGCCUGGGGAGUACGGUCGCAAGGCUGAA
Molecule: ribosomal RNA, 330 nt
Filed under: uncultured bacterium
Lineage: Bacteria
Description: bacterial SSU rRNA
Rfam family: Bacterial small subunit ribosomal RNA
Source: RNAcentral